Molecule: non-coding RNA, 136 nt
Organism: Chelonoidis abingdonii (Abingdon island giant tortoise)
Lineage: Eukaryota; Metazoa; Chordata; Testudines; Testudinidae
Source: RefSeq, a predicted model, not a curated record
UGAAUCUGUACUCCACAAUUCAUAACUGCUUUCACGAGCUCCUCCUUACUCUUCCUUGGUUUUUUUCGUAAGUUCCGUAGUUUUUCAGAAGUCUGAGCUGAUGGAGCAGUAUCCAAGGUCACUUAAAAAAAAAACA